AGAGUUUGAUCAUGGCUCAGGAUGAACGCUAGCGGCAGGCCUAAUACAUGCAAGUCGGACGGGAUCCAUCGGUAGCUUGCUACCGAUGGUGAGAGUGGCGCACGGGUGCGUAACGCGUGAGCAACCUGCCCAUAUCAGGGGGAUAGCCCGGAGAAAUCCGGAUUAACACCGCAUGACACUGCUUUCCGGCAUCGGGAGGUAGUCAAAUAUUCAUAGGAUAUGGAUGGGCUCGCGUGACAUUAGCUAGUUGGUGGGGUAACGGCCCACCAAGGCGACGAUGUCUAGGGGCUCUGAGAGGAGAAUCCCCCACACUGGUACUGAGACACGGACCAGACUCCUACGGGAGGCAGCAGUAAGGAAUAUUGGUCAAUGGGGGCAACCCUGAACCAGCCAUGCCGCGUGCAGGACGACUGCCCUAUGGGUUGUAAACUGCUUUUGUUAGGGAAUAAACCCCGCUACGUGUAGCGGGCUGAAUGUACCUAAAGAAUAAGGAUCGGCUAACUCCGUGCCAGCAGCCGCGGUAAUAC
RNAcentral lists this ribosomal RNA (527 nucleotides) under uncultured bacterium. Its description in RNAcentral is "bacterial SSU rRNA". It matches the Rfam family "Bacterial small subunit ribosomal RNA", at positions 8 to 526 of the family's 1533-position model. The record is from RNAcentral.